Nerophis ophidion (straightnose pipefish) is the source of this 534-nucleotide long non-coding RNA. RefSeq lists it as uncharacterized. The record is from RefSeq and is a predicted model, not a curated record. Lineage: Eukaryota; Metazoa; Chordata; Actinopteri; Syngnathiformes; Syngnathidae. The transcript is spliced from 3 exons.
CCGCACUUUCGCUUCAAAACAACCCUCGACGGAACCUUAGAUAAUAUUGAUGUAAUUGGUUAGUAUUGCAGCGACAAACUUUGUUAUCAAGUUUAAAAUAGCUACUUAAAACGAAACAUGAACGUGAGGAUACCGCCGCUAGCUAAACAGUGUAUUCAUGUUCCCGGGGUUGGCGCGCCCCUUUUAAAAGAGUAAGGUAAAUCGUGACGUCACACGCCAGUUUUGACUCGGCAGUUUCGCCACGGUCGCCAACACGCACUCAACAAGCAUCUUGUCAGCACAUUAGUUAUCUCAAUGUAGGUGGUCGAUGUCCGGCACAUGUGGUCAUUCAAUGAGGAUAUCACACUUCCUGUUAGCGGCCUUGUCAGGAGAAGAGAGAAAUAGCACAUUCGGAAUAUUUGGGGAGGAGCACAAAAGAGAGAAGUGAUGAGCUCUCGGCGACGGCGGUAAGGAUUGAGCCAAUAUAUCUGGAGGAAAACAGCAACAGUGUGUGGCAAUAUUGGAUCUGUCAGACUGGGGCCAUUUAAAUUUCAA